UACGAAGGGGGCUAGCGUUGUUCGGAAUUACUGGGCGUAAAGGGCGCGUAGGCGGCGUGUCAAGUCAGGCGUGAAAGCCCCGGGCUCAACCUGGGAACCGCGCUUGAGACUGGCAUGCUCGAGUUCGGGAGAGGAUGGUGGAAUUCCCAGUGUAGAGGUGAAAUUCGUGGAUAUUGGGAAGAACACCGAUGGCGAAGGCAGCCAUCUGGACCGACACUGACGCUGAGGCGCGAAAGCGUGGGGAGCAAACAGG
RNAcentral lists this ribosomal RNA (253 nucleotides) under uncultured bacterium. Its description in RNAcentral is "partial 16S ribosomal RNA". It matches the Rfam family "Bacterial small subunit ribosomal RNA", at positions 524 to 776 of the family's 1533-position model. The record is from RNAcentral.